This 1501-nucleotide ribosomal RNA is filed under the name uncultured organism. RNAcentral's name for it is "bacterial SSU rRNA". It matches the Rfam family "Bacterial small subunit ribosomal RNA". The record is from RNAcentral.
UCAGAACGAACGCUGGCGGCGUGCUUAACACAUGCAAGUCGGAUGCGAACGGGCUUUUCGGAGCGCAAGUAGCAUGGCAGACGGGUGAGGAGCACGUACCUGACCUGGCUCUUAAUGGGGGAUAGUCCUUCGAAAGAGGGUUGAAUACCGCAUACGCUCAGGAGGGCGACCUUGUGAGGAAAGCUGGCCUCUGCGAGAGCAAGCUGGUGUUAAGAGGGGGGGGGUGCGGCCUAUUAGCUAGUUGGUAGGGUAAGGGCCUACCAAGGCGACGAUGGGUAGCUGGUCUGAGAGGAUGAUCAGCCACACUGGGACUGAGAGACGGCCCAGACUCCUACGGGAGGCAGCAGUGGGGAAUUUUGCGCAAUGGGGGCAACCCUGACGCAGCAACGCCGUGUGAGUGAGGACGCCUUUCGGGGUGUAAAGCUCUGUCAGCAGGGACGAACGUGUCGCGUAGAAGAUACGGGGGCAUUGACGGUACCUGGUGAGGAAGCCCCGGCUAACUCCGUGCCAGCAGCCGCGGUAAGACGGAGGGGGCAAGCGUUGUUCGGAAUUACUGGGCGUAAAGCGCGCGUAGGCGGCGAGACAAGUGCCGAGUGAAAGCCCUCGGCUUAACCGAGGAAGGGCUUGGCAGACUGUUUGGCUAGAGUUUCGGAGGGGGAGGCGGAAUUCCUGGUGGAGCGGUGAAAUGCGUAGAGAUCAGGAAGAACGUCAGUGGCGAAGGCGGCCUCCUGGACGAGAACUGACGCUGAGGUGCGAGAGCGUGGGGAGCGAACGGGAUUAGAUACCCCGGUAGUCCACGCCGUAAACGCUGGGCACUAGGUGUGGGGCCGAGGACCGGGUCCGUGCCGGAGCUAACGCAGUAAGUGCCCCGCCUGGGGAGGAACGUUCGCAAGCCAUAGAACUCAAAAGAAAUUGAACGGGGCCCGGCCCCAAACCGGGGGGGCAAGGGGGCUAAAAUCAAACCCCCAAACCGAAGGACCCUACCCGGGGCGGGAAAAAAAAUAGGGCGAUCGGCUGGAAGGUCGAGUUCCUUCGGGACGCUAUCACAGGUGCUGCAUGGCUGUCGUCAGCUCGUGUCGUGAGAUGUUGGGUUAAGUCCCGCGACGAGCGCAACCCUUGCCCGUAGUUACCAGCACGCGAGGGUGGGGACUCUACGGGGACUGCCGGUGUGAAGCUGGAGGAAGGUGGGGAUGACGUCAAGUCCUCAUGGCCCUGACGCCCAGGGCUACACACGUGCUACAAUGGGCAGGACAACGGGGAGCGACCUUGCGAAGGGGAGCCAAUCCUGAAACCUGGUCGUAGUUCGGAUUGGAGUCUGCAACUCGACUCCAUGAAGGUGGAAUCGCUAGUAAUCGCGGAUCAGCAUGCCGCGGUGAUACGUUCCCGGGCCUUGUACACACCGCCCGUCACACCACGAAAGUUGAUGGUACCCGAAGUCGCCGGGCGAACCGGCAACGGGCGCAGGCGCCGAAGGUACGAUGAGCGAUUGGGGUGAAGUCGU